CGUUGUUGCAGUUAAAAAGCUCGUAGUUGAAAUGAAGGGUAGUUGUGUAAUGAAUACAUUCGUGUAUUUUGUUAUUCUACUACCCUCCUUCUAAAUUCGAUAUAUGAGUAUUAAUUUACUUGUAUAUGGUUUUAGACCUUUACUGUGAGAAAAUUAGAGUGUUCAAAGCAGGCAUUUGCUUGAAUAUAUUAGCAUGGAAUAAUCAUGUAUGAUUUUCAUGAUGUAUUUGAUUGGUUUGGUUCAUGAGAAUAAGAUUAAAAGGGACAGUUGGGGGUAUUCAUAUUCAAUAGUCAGAGGUGAAAUUCUCGGAUUUAUGGAAGAUGAACAAGUGCGAAAGCAUUUACCAAGGAUGUUUU
RNAcentral lists this ribosomal RNA (356 nucleotides) under Blastocystis sp. subtype 3. RNAcentral describes it as "SSU rRNA". It matches the Rfam family "Eukaryotic small subunit ribosomal RNA", at positions 608 to 970 of the family's 1831-position model. The record is from RNAcentral. Lineage: Eukaryota; Bigyra; Opalinata; Blastocystidae.